Molecule: ribosomal RNA, 497 nt
Filed under: uncultured bacterium
Lineage: Bacteria
Description: partial 16S ribosomal RNA
Rfam family: Bacterial small subunit ribosomal RNA
Source: RNAcentral
GAUGAACGCUGGCGGCGUGCCUAAUACAUGCAAGUCGAGCGAACGGACGAGAAGCUUGCUUUUCUGAUGUUAGCGGCGGACGGGUGAGUAACACGUGGAUAACCUACCUAUAAGACUGGGAUAACUUCGGGAAACCGGAGCUAAUACCGGAUAAUAUUUUGAACCGCAUGGUUCAAAAGUGAAAGACGGUCUUGCUGUCACUUAUAGAUGGAUCCGCGCUGCAUUAGCUAGUUGGUAAGGUAACGGCUUACCAAGGCAACGAUGCAUAGCCGACCUGAGAGGGUGAUCGGCCACACUGGAACUGAGACACGGUCCAGACUCCUACGGGAGGCAGCAGUAGGGAAUCUUCCGCAAUGGGCGAGAGCCUGACGGAGCAACGCCGCGUGAGUGAUGAAGGUCUUCGGAUCGUAAAACUCUGCUAUUAGGGAAGAACAUAUGUGUAAGUAACUGUGCACAUCUUGACGGUACCUAAUCAGAAAGCCACGGCUAACUACGUG